This 1160-nucleotide ribosomal RNA is filed under the name Bacillus pumilus. RNAcentral's name for it is "bacterial SSU rRNA". It matches the Rfam family "Bacterial small subunit ribosomal RNA", at positions 40 to 1183 of the family's 1533-position model. The record is from RNAcentral. Lineage: Bacteria; Bacillati; Bacillota; Bacilli; Caryophanales; Bacillaceae.
UGGCGGGUUCCUAUACAUGCAAGUCGAGCGGACAGAAGGGAGCUUGCUCCCGGAUGUUAGCGGCGGACGGGUGAGUAACACGUGGGUAACCUGCCUGUAAGACUGGGAUAACUCCGGGAAACCGGAGCUAAUACCGGAUAGUUCCUUGAACCGCAUGGUUCAAGGAUGAAAGACGGUUUCGGCUGUCACUUACAGAUGGACCCGCGGCGCAUUAGCUAGUUGGUGGGGUAAUGGCUCACCAAGGCAACGAUGCGUAGCCGACCUGAGAGGGUGAUCGGCCACACUGGGACUGAGACACGGCCCAGACUCCUACGGGAGGCAGCAGUGGGGAAUCUUCCGCAAUGGACGAAAGUCUGACGGAGCAACGCCGCGUGAGUGAUGAAGGUUUUCGGAUCGUAAAGCUCUGUUGUUAGGGAAGAACAAGUGCGAGAGUAACUGCUCGCACCUUGACGGUACCUAACCAGAAAGCCACGGCUAACUACGUGCCAGCAGCCGCGGUAAUACGUAGGUGGCAAGCGUUGUCCGGAAUUUUUGGGCGUAAAGGGCUCGCAGGCGGUUUCUUAAGUCUGAUGUGAAAGCCCCCGGCUCAACCGGGGAGGGUCAUUGGAAACUGGGAAACUUGAGUGCAGAAGAGGAGAGUGGAAUUCCACGUGUAGCGGUGAAAUGCGUAGAGAUGUGGAGGAACACCAGUGGCGAAGGCGACUCUCUGGUCUGUAACUGACGCUGAGGAGCGAAAGCGUGGGGAGCGAACAGGAUUAGAUACCCUGGUAGUCCACGCCGUAAACGAUGAGUGCUAAGUGUUAGGGGGUUUCCGCCCUUUAGUGCUGCAGCUAACGCAUUAAGCACUCCGCCUGGGGAGUACGGUCGCAAGACUGAAACUCAAAGGAAUUGACGGGGGCCCGCACAAGCGGUGGAGCAUGUGGUUUAAUUCGAAGCAACGCGAAGAACCUUACCAGGUCUUGACAUCCUCUGACAACCCUAGAGAUAGGGCUUUCCCUUCGGGGACAGAGUGACAGGUGGUGCAUGGUUGUCGUCAGCUCGUGUCGUGAGAUGUUGGGUUAAGUCCCGCAACGAGCGCAACCCUUGAUCUUAGUUGCCAGCAUUUAGUUGGGCACUCUAAGGUGACUGCCGGUGACAAACCGGAGGAAGGAGAGGAUGAU